AGACGGAGACUCCAUCUCAGGAAAAAAAAAAAAAGAAAGAAAGUGACUUUCUCCUGUGGAUCCAGAGAGUUUGAACUCAUCAGAUAUCCACACCACACCUGCCAUGUGCCAAGGCCUUCUGCUAAGCACACAUCAUCUUUUUGUUUUGUUUUGUUUUCAACAGAGACAAGGUCUCACUAUGUUGCCCAUGCUGUCUUGAAUUCCUGGUCUCAAGCCAUCCUCCUGCCUCAGCCUCCCUGAGUGGUAGGAUUACAGGCAUGAGCCACCGGGUCUGGCCAAGCACACAUUAUCAGGGAGAACGGAGGGUCCUAGCAGAGAAAACUUCUGAAUUUUCCGGCCCCUCUGACAACUGGAGUUAAGAGGACUGACUGACACCACAAAGUGACUGCUGGAAAGAGAAACCAGAGGGCAGGUGCAGAGGGAAGGCCUUCGCUGUGGGAACGUCACCAUACCCUCGCAAGUGGGGAGAGAGAUGAGGAACUGGUGGGAGUCCCACAGCAGCUUCCCUUGCAGACCUCUCCCACAUGUGUGCCCGUGUGUGAGAAAUGGAAGAGGGCUUAGCUGGGGGUUCGGCUUAGGGAUGCAGGAAAGGUCGAGCUCUGAGGCUGUGAUGGCACACCAAGGGCUUCUCCGUCCUCAGCAGAGCAGCAAGGGAAGCAGUAAGGCUAGUGUGGGUUGCUGAGAAGACAGGCUCAAGACAUGUUCCUUAAGUGUCAUGUGCCAGACCCCAGUGGCCCUCUGUCAUUCCUAGGCAAGGUCUUGGGAAGACAGAUGAUAAUGAGGGGAACCAGGCCCUGCAGAGACACAUUUUUGCCAAGCCCCUCGGUUAGAGCACAGCUGAGACUUUAAACCCCAAAGGUGGGUCUUUUGUAAUCUGGUCUUGGCUUGCUGGAAAAGGCUAUCAGGGGCCCAGGAAGGGGUUGAGAGAGCCCAGUGCCCACCAGCCUGUGGGAAGCCAGGAACUCCCCAACUGCCACUGGUCAGCCAUUCCACAGGUCAUUCUUGAGCACCAGCUAUGUACCAGGCACAGUGGUAGCAACUGGGGAACAUCAAGAUGAACAAGGGUCUUGCCUCAGGAAGUGAACAUUCUAGUGAGGGAAACAGAUAAACUAAAAAAGUAAAAAUAUUUACAGGUGCCCUGAAGGAAAUAAACAGGGCCUUUUGAGAGACAAUAACAGGUAGUUUUAUUUUGGAAAAUGUAGUCUGAGGAAGUGAAAUCUUUUUUUUUUAGACAGGGAGUCUUGCUCUGUUGCCCAGGCAAGAGAGCAGUGGUGCGAUCAUGGCUCACUGCAGCUUUGAACUCCUGGGCUCAAGCCUCAGCCUUCCAAGUAGCUGGAACUACAGGUGCAUGCCACCACACACCUGUGGUGUCUUAAUUUCGUAACUUUUUUUUUUUUCCCUAAGAGACAGGGUAUCACUAUGUUGUCCAGGCUGGUCUCAAACUUCUGGCCUCAAGCAAUCCUCCUGCCUUGGCCCCAGUCACUGGGAUUAAGGGCUUGAGCCACCCCACCCAGCAGGAAAGUAGUUAAACUGAGAAGAAGCCUGUCAUUUAAAAAGCCAGGACAAGGCAGAGGAAACUGCCUGUGCAAAGGUCCUGGGAUGGGAAAGCUUGGGGAUUUGGGACAAUAAUAGUAACACUGUGGCUAUUGGGGGAGAGGGAGGCAGAUGAGAGUGGAGAAAUGGGAGGGGGUGGGGCAUAUGACACAAGGCCUGUGGACAGAGUGUAGCUGGUUCCAGUUUCUGGUGUGCAAGAAACAGAACUUGAAUUUUCUUUAACUCACUUGAAUUCCUGUAUUUUGCCCUACUCAGCCAGAGUGGCAGAAAGUUAAUUGCGGUCAAUUCACAGUUCCCCCAUUUUCCUUGGCAUUCUGUUGGAAUUCUAGGGCUCUUCCUUUCAAGGUGCCAAAGCAUGGGAAGCAUAGUCUGAUUUGGUCAUCCAGUCACACUAGCAUCCACUGAGAUGUUCUCAUCUGGUUGUGACCUUUUGUCAUCAGCCCAUGAAGGUUGCUGCUGAGUUGCUCCCCAUCCCCCCACCAAAAGACCCCUCCAAGUGUAACCCAUACCCCUCUCAGGUGUGCAGAGUUUUGUUUUGUUUUGUUUUGUUUUUCUGCUUUCCCCAGGCCAUGUUAGGCCUAGGAAAUUCUUGAGUCUUAGGUGAGUUAGGCCCUGUUUGUCCAAAAUGCAGCAUGCAGCCAUUUCUCCAGAGGGUUUUGUGACUUCCCUGGUGCCCCACCCAGGAAAAGGAGCACAGCUCCUCUCUGCUUCUCAAUCCCUUGGACCCAGAUGAUAUUCCCAGUUACAAGACUGAGGAGAAGCUUCUCUCUUCUCAGGGACCCCCCUCCUCAAUCUCAGACUCCCAGAUCCCCGUUAUAGUUUUCUAAAUGUGUGUCUGCACAGAAAUUCUGUCCAUUCCUCCCUGAAAGCUAAGCUUUUGGAAUUCAGAAGCUAAAAAUAGGCCCUGCA
This 2463-nucleotide long non-coding RNA is filed under the name Homo sapiens (human). RNAcentral's name for it is "HSALNT0291402". The record is from RNAcentral. Lineage: Eukaryota; Metazoa; Chordata; Mammalia; Primates; Hominidae.